This 794-nucleotide long non-coding RNA is filed under the name Nicotiana benthamiana. Its description in RNAcentral is "long non-coding RNA (NBEN_LNC019667)". Lineage: Eukaryota; Viridiplantae; Streptophyta; Magnoliopsida; Solanales; Solanaceae. The record is from RNAcentral.
GGGAAUCCAAACUCUGCUGGUACUCAGAACAGCAAUGCCAAUGCUCAGGGGGUUUCUGAAUCAGAUUCUCUCAUACCUGGUUUAACCAAAGAUCAAUACUCACAGCUUAUGUUGCUUCUUCAACAGACACAAAUUUCAGAAUCUAUGGCAUCAUCCAACUUUGCUGGUAACCUUUCUUCCACCACUCACUUAAAGAAUGUAUCCUAUGGUGCCUGCAUGUUAACUAAAUUAAGUGACUGCAUUUGGAUUAUAGAUUCUUGUGCCACUGAUCACAUGACCUCCAAUAAAGACCUUCUGUUUGACAUUAAGCCUUUAACUAUACCUUAUCUAGUUACCUUACCCAAUGGUUAUAAGGUUAAGUAACCUGCACUAGGUCAAUUCAGUUUCUUUGUUUCACUCUACAUCAUGUCAUUUAUAUUCCCAGUUUUCAAUACAAUCUCAUCUCUGUGUCUAAACUUGUGUGCCAGUUGAAUUCUACUGUCCUAUUUACUAAAUUCUCUUAUUUAAUACAGGCCCCUUCUCUGAAGAGGCCACUAGAGAUUGGUAAAUUGGAUGAUGGUCUCUACAGGCUUGUUCAAUCUUCUUCUCUUCAGUCUGUUGAUCAUUGUAAAUCUCAUUCUCCAUUAACUGUUGGUUCUGUUUCUACCUCUCAUUGUUCAUAUCAUUCUGAAUCUAAUAAAAUGGAGAUUUCACGGCACAAUAGACUAGGGCAUAUACCUUUUGUUAGGAUGAAAGACAUGUCUUCUAUACCAUGUACAUUUUCAACAAACCAGCCUUUCCUUUGUCCUAUAUGU